Gossypium arboreum is the source of this 811-nucleotide long non-coding RNA. RefSeq lists it as uncharacterized. NCBI's taxonomy places the organism in Eukaryota, Viridiplantae, Streptophyta, Magnoliopsida, Malvales, Malvaceae. The transcript has 3 exons. The record is from RefSeq and is a predicted model, not a curated record.
AGAUUAAAGACUCAGGCAAUGUGGCUAACCAUUCUCUGUAAUGUAAAUGGUCGGACUGUUAUAUUUCUUCUUUAAAUAUAACAGAAGGUCUCUCAAACCUUUUGGAUAAUUAAAAAGCCAGCUCACAUCAGUCUGUAAAAUUAUUGACACCAAUAUUUUGGUCAUCAAAAUGGCUGUUUGAAGAAGGCAGAAACAGAGGAAAAGUUUUUUUUUUCUCGGCUGCAAGAACUUACGGGUGUGCCGAUCGGAACUCCAUUCUUCUCAGCUGCAAGAACCAAAAGGUCUGGUAUUCUUUUCGACUCACCAUCCAAAAAGGAAAUCCCGAGCCCUGGAAGCUGCCUUGCGGUCCGCGGUUGUAUCAAAUUUUGGUUCAAACCAAGUGGUUACUAAGAGAUUGACGGCGGCUGCAUGGGAAAGAAGAAAAUGAUGGGCUAAGAUAUAAGGCCGGGUUGAAGAGGGGGGUAAGCCCUGGCCGAAGCCUAAGCUCCACCCAUUAGGUUCAUUCAUGGUCACCCAACGCUUGACUCGAUCCCCAAAUGUUUUAAAGCAAAAAUCAGCAUAAUCUACAAAGUCAUCCCUGUCAAGGAAAAAAAAACAAUUUAAUCAUUCUUUUUAAUAUAUAGAUGUUGAACUAAAAUAUUUUAGAUUAAAUGAAAAAUCCACCAUUUUAUUUGAAAUGACUAAGAGAAUACAUUUUGUUAAGGGAUUUUGACUUCAAAAAAUGUUGAUUGUUGGGAGCCGAUAGGCUUCUUAACAUAUAUGAUAUUAUUUUCGGAGUUUUGUUUUUUUAACUUUGUUGAGAAUUUGAGAA